GGAAUUUUGGACAAUGGGCGCAAGCCUGAUCCAGCAAUGCCGCGUGAGUGAAGAAGGCCCUCGGGUUGUAAAGCUCUUUUGUCAGGGAAGAAACGGCUCAAGCUAAUAUCUUGGGCUAAUGACGGUACCUGAAGAAUAAGCACCGGCUAACUAAGUGCCAGCAGCCGCGGUAAUACGUAGGGUGCAAGCGUUAAUCGGAAUUACUGGGCGUAAAGCGUGCGCAGGCGGUUUUGUAAGUCUGUCGUGAAAUCCCCGGGCUUAACCUGGGAAUUGCGAUGGAGACUGCAAGGCUAGAAUCUAGCAGAGGGGGGUAGAAUUCCACGUGUAGCAGUGAAAUGCGUAGAGAUAUGGAGGAACACCGAUGGCGAAGGCAGCCCCCUGGGUCAAGAUUGACGCUCAUGCACGAAAGCGUGGGGAGCAAAC
RNAcentral lists this ribosomal RNA (423 nucleotides) under uncultured bacterium. RNAcentral describes it as "bacterial SSU rRNA". It matches the Rfam family "Bacterial small subunit ribosomal RNA", at positions 358 to 773 of the family's 1533-position model. The record is from RNAcentral.